AUUGAACGCUGGCGGCAGGCCUAACACAUGCAAGUCGAGCGGAUGAAGGGAGCUUGCUCCUGGAUUCAGCGGCGGACGGGUGAGUAAUGCCUAGGAAUCUGCCUGGUAGUGGGGGAUAACGUCCGGAAACGGGCGCUAAUACCGCAUACGUCCUGAGGGAGAAAGUGGGGGAUCUUCGGACCUCACGCUAUCAGAUGAGCCUAGGUCGGAUUAGCUAGUUGGUGGGGUAAAGGCCUACUAAGCCGACGAUCCGUAACUGGUCUGAGAGGAUGAUCAGUCACACUGGAACUGAGACACGGUCCAGACUCCUACGGGAGGCAGCAGUGGGGAAUAUUGGGCAAUGGGCGAAAGCCUGAUCCAGCCCUGCCGCGUGUGUGAGGAAGGUCUUCGGAUUGUAAAGCACUUUAAGUUGGGAGGAAGGGCAGUAAGUUAAUACCUUGCUGUUUUGACGUUACCAACAGAAUAAGCACCGGCUAACUUCGUG
This 484-nucleotide ribosomal RNA is filed under the name uncultured bacterium. Its description in RNAcentral is "partial 16S ribosomal RNA". It matches the Rfam family "Bacterial small subunit ribosomal RNA", at positions 30 to 507 of the family's 1533-position model. The record is from RNAcentral.